UACAGAGGGUGCAAGCGUUAAUCGGAAUUACUGGGCGUAAAGCGUGCGUAGACGGUUGCGUAAGUCAGAUGUGAAAGCCCCGGGCUCAACCUGGGAAUUGCAUUUGAGACUGCGUAGCUAGGGUGCGGAAGAGGGAAGCGGAAUUUCCGGUGUAGCGGUGAAAUGCGUAGAUAUCGGAAGGAACACCAGUGGCGAAAGCGGCUUCCUGGUCCAGCACCGACGUUCAGGCACGAAAGCGUGGGGAGCAAACGGG
This 253-nucleotide ribosomal RNA is filed under the name uncultured bacterium. Its description in RNAcentral is "partial 16S ribosomal RNA". It matches the Rfam family "Bacterial small subunit ribosomal RNA", at positions 524 to 776 of the family's 1533-position model. The record is from RNAcentral.